AGAGUUUGAUCCUGGCUCAGGACGAACGCUGGCGGCGUGCUUAACACAUGCAAGUCGAACGAAGCUUGAUUACGGAUUCUUCGGAUGAAGUAUGAUAUGACUGAGUGGCGGACGGGUGAGUAACGCGUGAGUAACCUGCCCUUCAGAGGGGGAUAGCGUUUGGAAACGAACGGUAAUACCGCAUAAUGUAUUUUGACCGCAUGAUCGAAAUACCAAAGAUUUAUCGCUGAAGGAUGGACUCGCGUCUGAUUAGGUAGUUGGUGGGGUAACGGCCUACCAAGCCGACGAUCAGUAGCCGGACUGAGAGGUUGAUCGGCCACAUUGGGACUGAGACACGGCCCAGACUCCUACGGGAGGCAGCAGUGGGGAAUAUUGCACAAUGGGCGCAAGCCUGAUGCAGCAACGCCGCGUGAAGGAAGACGGUUUUCGGAUUGUAAACUUCUGUUCUUAGUGAAGAAUAAUGGCGGUAGCUAAGGAGCAAGCCACGGCUAACUACGUGCCAGCAGCCGCGGUAAUACGUAGGUGGCAAGCGUUGUCCGGAAUUACUGGGUGUAAAGGGAGCGCAGGCGGGUGAUCAAGUCAGCUGUGAAAACUACGGGCUUAACCCGUAGACUGCAGUUGAAACUGUUCAUCUUGAGUGAAGUAGAGGUUGGCGGAAUUCCGAGUGUAGCGGUGAAAUGCGUAGAUAUUCGGAGGAACACCGGUGGCGAAGGCGGCCAACUGGGCUUUAACCGACGCUGAGGCUCGAAAGUGUGGGGAGCAAACAGGAUUAGAUACCCUGGUAGUCCACACUGUAAACGAUGAUUGCUAGGUGUGGGGGGUCUGACCCCUUCCGUGCCGGAGCUAACGCAAUAAGCAAUCCACCUGGGGAGUACGACCGCAAGGUUGAAACUCAAAGGAAUUGACGGAAGGG
Molecule: ribosomal RNA, 913 nt
Filed under: uncultured bacterium
Lineage: Bacteria
Description: bacterial SSU rRNA
Rfam family: Bacterial small subunit ribosomal RNA
Source: RNAcentral